GACGAACGCUGGCGGCGUGCCUAAUACAUGCAAGUCGAACGAACUCUGGUAUUGAUUGGUGCUUGCAUCAUGAUUUACAUUUGAGUGAGUGGCGAACUGGUGAGUAACACGUGGGAAACCUGCCCAGAAGCGGGGGAUAACACCUGGAAACAGAUGCUAAUACCGCAUAACAACUUGGACCGCAGUCGGUCCGUAGUUUAGGAAAGAGUGGUCGUUCGGCUGUCUUACG
This 229-nucleotide ribosomal RNA is filed under the name uncultured bacterium. Its description in RNAcentral is "partial 16S ribosomal RNA". It matches the Rfam family "Bacterial small subunit ribosomal RNA", at positions 28 to 235 of the family's 1533-position model. The record is from RNAcentral.